This 391-nucleotide ribosomal RNA is filed under the name Sphingomonas sp. iDCIII3. Its description in RNAcentral is "bacterial SSU rRNA". It matches the Rfam family "Bacterial small subunit ribosomal RNA", at positions 8 to 429 of the family's 1533-position model. The record is from RNAcentral. Lineage: Bacteria; Pseudomonadati; Pseudomonadota; Alphaproteobacteria; Sphingomonadales; Sphingomonadaceae.
AGAGUUUGAUCCUGGCUCAGAAUGAACGCUGGCGGCAUGCCUAACACAUGCAAGUCGAACGAAGCCUUCGGGUUUAGUGGCGCACGGGUGCGUAACGCGUGGGAAUCUGCCCCUUGGUUCGGAAUAACAGUUGGAAACGACUGCUAAUACCGGAUGAUGACGUAAGUCCAAAGAUUUAUCGCCGAGUGAUGAGCCCGCGUAGGAUUAGGUAGUUGGUGUGGUAAAGGCGCACCAAGCCGACGAUCCUUAGCUGGUCUGAGAGGAUGAUCAGCCACACUGGGACUGAGACACGGCCCAGACUCCUACGGGAGGCAGCAGUGGGGAAUAUUGGACAAUGGGCGAAAGCCUGAUCCAGCAAUGCCGCGUGAGUGAUGAAGGCCUAGGGUGAAAG